UGAAAUUUACCCAUCUGCCCAGUUACACUGAAAUUUACAUUGACGAGUUUCCAAUAGCAAUAAACAUGUAAGUUGAAGCUUCUGAGUUCUGACAUCAUCCUCAAUCUACAAUUGCACCCUGAAAACGUGAAACGUUAGUAAAGGGACCUCAUACUCGACUUUAAUGUGCUAAAAGGCACCUUCACCAGACAGGGUGAAAGUGAAUUCCAUUAACUGCACAUAAGUUACAGCAAAGAACAAUCAUAUGCCUAUUUAUAAGGAAUUCAGUCAUUGCAACAGCAUAUGAAGCCGAAAACUAAUGAAUAAAGCAGCUGGCCAGUGAUUUAAGAUAAUGCAAAGUUUACUCCAAGGCUCUAGGCCAGACUGCUUGUCUUCCUUUUAUAUUCAAGGUUACAAAAAUUAUCUAUAGCUGGAUAGUUAAUCUAGCCCUAGACGAUGGGAAUCUAAAGUCCAUGUGCCAGCAAGAAGUCAGUUCGAUUCCAGCCAGCAAGAAAGAAAUCAUCAACUGGAUUGUCAACACAUGAAUAUCAAAAUAAUAAAAACAUUACACAUCAGUCGCAAGGAAAUGCAGUUGAAAAUAGCAACGAAUUUCAAUCCCCAAAACUGAAAUUUGUUUUUGUUUUCUAUCAUAAUGCAGUCAAAAGUCUAAUCCAAAACUUCGCAAGACAUUAAGCUUUAUACCGAUCCAUAUGGUCAUGGUAAUUUCAGAUGCUUGAAGUAUAAAAUUACCAACAGGAUUUGAUAAUGUAACAGAAUACAAAGCUAUUUUGAGUCUCAUUAAAAUUACUAAUGGUUUAAAAUCUUAGACUGGAUUCAUCCUAUCACAAUUUGCAAGCUACAUGUUAUUUGGCAGUCUAUUUUGACCAGCAGGACUCUGAAAGGGAAAUGUGCCCUUGGGCCAUUUCUAAGUAUUUCGGUGAUUGAGUGCCAACACAAGUGCUUAAUUGUGAAUCUAUGCCCAUGGAUGAACAAAGUGCAAAUCAAGAGCAAAGGUAUGUUUCUAAGUCUUAGUACAUUGGUUUUGUGUACUAAUAUACUUGUCUAAGUAUCAGAAACAGAAAGAAGAAGAAAAGAGAAGAGUUGGCUGUGUACAGCCAAGAGGCUGUUUCGGUCUGGGGCACCGGACUGUCCGGUGGUGCACCGGACAGUGUCUGGUGCGCCAGGCUGCCUCAAGCGAAGUGGCCGCUCUCGGGAAUUUGCCGACGGCGUACGACUAAAAUUCACCGGACUGUCCGGUGUGCACCGGACUGUCCGGUGAGCCAACGGUCGGCCGGGCCAACGGUCGGCCGCGCGAUCCGCGCGGGACACGUGGCCGAGCCAACGGCUAGAAGGGGGCACCGGACUGUCCGGUGUGCACCGGACAUGUCCGGUGCGCCAACGGCUCCAAGUCUGCCAACGGUCGGCUUCGCUAUUUAAGGAAGGAAAUCGGGCACCGGACAGUGUCCGGUGUGCACCGGACAGUGUCCGGUGCACCCGACGACAGAAGGCAAGAAGGGCCUUCCAGAUUUGCUCUCAACGGCUCCUAGCUGCCUUGGGGCUAUAAAAGGGACCCCUAGGCGCAUGGAGGAGGACACCAAGCAACCUUAGAGCAUUCUUGAUCAUCCACACUCAGUCUUUGCGCAUUCGUUUGUCUUUCUAAGUGAUUCGAGCUCCGUUCUAGUGAGAACUUUGAGAUAGUCUUUGAGCUCGAUUCUUGGCCGUGUGUGUGCGCAUUCUUGCUGUGGAUUUGUGUGUGUUGCUUCCCUUCCUUACUCCGUGAUUCUUUGUGAACAUCAAAAGUGUAAGGGCGAGAGGCUCCAAGUUGUGGAGAUUCCUCGCGAACGGGAUAAGAAAAGAAAAGCAUAACACUGUGGUAUUCAAGUUGAUCAUUGGAUCACUUGAGAGGAGUUGAGUGCAACUCUCGUCCGUUGGGACGCCACAACGUGGAGUAGGCAAGUUUUGUACUUGGCCGAACCACGGGAUAAAUCACUGUGUCUUCUCUGUGUUGAAUUCUUUGUGAUUAUCGUAUUGUGCAAGACCUUCUCUCUAGCCACUUGGCGAUUAUUGUGCUAACACUUAACAAGUUUUUGUGGCUAUAAGUUUAAGUUUCACAGGAUCACCUAUUCACCCCCCCCUCUAGGUGCUCUCAAUUGGUAUCGGAGCCGUUCUCUUCAAGAAAGGGACUAACCGCCCGAAGAGAUGGAUCCUAAGGGGAAGGGAAUCGUGAUCAACGAUAAAGAGAAGGAGUCCUUCGUCAACGAGCCCAAAGAUGACAAGCCUAUCGACUCCGGCUCGGGCCAUAGACGGAAGGAAGGGAAGAAGAAGAAGACAAGGCGCAUCAAGGAGAUCGUCUACUACGACGACAGCGACGAAUCUUCCUCUUCCCAAAAGGACAACAACGACAACGACUUUGACAAACAAAAGACGGUUAACUCAAACUUUUCUUUUGAUUAUUCGCGCAUUCCGCAUAGCUCAAAUGCUCAUUUGCUCCCCAUUCCACUUGGCAAGCCUCCUCACUUUGAUGGAGAGGACUACGGAUUUUGGAGUCACAAAAUGCGUACUCACCUAUUUUCUCUCCAUCCAAGCAUUUGGGAGAUUGUGGAAAGUGGAAUGAAAUUUGAUUGCUCGGAUAGCCCUUCGUUUAUUAAUGAACAGAUCCAUAAAAAUGCACAAGCUACUACUGUGUUGCUAGCCUCUUUGUGCAGGGAUGAGUAUCACAAGGUGAGCGGCUUGGACAAUGCCAAGCAGAUUUGGGACACCCUCAAGAUCUCUCAUGAGGGGAAUGAUGUCACCUUACUCACCAAGAUGGAGUUGGUGGAGGGCGAGCUCGGACGAUUCGUGAUGAUAAGGGGCGAGGAGCCGACACAAACAUACAACCGGCUCAAGAUCCUUAUCAACAAAAUAAGGAGCUAUGGAAGCACGCGAUGGACGGAUCACGACGUCGUCCGCCUAAUGCUAAGGUCAUUUACCGUUCUUGAUCCUCACUUGGUGAACAAUAUUCGUGAAAAUCCUAGGUACAUCAAGAUGUCGCCCGAAGAAAUUCUUGGAAAAUUUGUAAGCGGGCGAAUGAUGAUCAAGGAGGCGAGGUACGUGGACGACGCGUUGAAUGGCCCAAUCCAUGAGCCUCAACCCAUUGCUCUCAAGGCAACAAGGAGCAAGGAGGCGCUACCCAGCAAGGUGGCGCAAAUUGAGGCGGCCGGUCUUAAUGAUGAAGAGAUGGCCCUCAUCAUCAAAAGAUUCAAGACGGCACUAAAGGGUCGCAAGGGACAGCCAAGCAAGACUAAGAUCAAGGGAAAGCGAUCAUGCUUCAAAUGCGGUAAGCUUGGUCAUUUUAUUGCUAACUGUCCCGACAAUGAUAGUGACCAGGAACACGGGAGCAAGAGGGAAAAGAAGAAGCAUUACAAAAAGGCCAAGGGCGAGGCACAUAUCGGAAAGGAGUGGGAUUCAGAUUGCUUCUCCUCCGACUCCGACAAUGAAGGACUCGCCGCCACUGCCUUCAACAAGUCAUCCCUCUUCCCCAACGAGCGUCACACAUGCCUUAUGGCAAGGGAGAAGAAGGUAUGUAAUCAAAACAAUGUCACUUAUGAUUCUUCCAGUGAUGAUGAGUCUAGUGAUGAUGAAAUAGAUUACUCUAGUUUGUUCAAGGGAUUGGAUAGAACUAAAGUAGAUAAAAUUAAUGAAUUGAUUGAUGCCUUGAAUGAAAAAGAUAGACUCUUAGAAAAACAAGAGGACCUUUUGUAUGAAGAGCACGACAAAUUUGUAGAGGCACAAAAGUCUUAUGCAUUAGAAGUUAAAAGAAAUGAAGUGCUUUCUAGUGAACUAUCUUCUUGUCAUGAAACCAUUGCUACUUUAAAGAGUGUUAAUGAUGACUUAAAUGCCAAACUAGAAGUAGCUAGUAAAUCUAAUUCUUGUGUAGAACAUGUUGAGAUCUGCACUAGGUGUAAAGAUUUCGAUGUUGAUGCUUGUAGUGAUCAUUCAGUUUCAAUUUCUAAAUUAACUGAGGAAUUGGCUAGUCUUAAUGCCCAACUUAAGACUAGCAAGAAUGAAUUUGAUAAACUAAAAUUUGCAAGGGAUGCCUACACGAUCGGUAGACACCCCUCAAUUAAGGAUGGACUUGGCUUCAAGAGGGAAGGCAAGAACUUAACAAGCCAUAAGGCUCCCAUUCCCGCUAAGGAGAAAGGGAAGGCCCCUAUGGCUACUAGUGAUAAAAAAACCAUGCCUUUUUGUAUCAUGAUAGGAGACAAACUAGAAAUGCUUAUAGGAGUUAUAAUACGUACGAUGAUUUUUCUCAUGCUAUGUUUGCUUCUAGUUCUUCAUAUGUGCAUGAUAGAAAUGUUGGUAGAAGGGAUGUUGUUCAUAAUAUGCCUAGGAGAAAUGUUGUUAAUAUUCCUAGGAAAUUUAAUGAGCCUUCUACAAUAUAUCAUGCUUUGAAUGCUUCCUUUGCAAUUUGUCGAAAGGAUAGAAAGGUAAUUGCUAGGAAGUUAGGGGCAAGAUGCAAGGGAGACAAAACUUGCAUUUGGGUCCCUAAGAAUAUUUGUGCUAACCUUGUAGGACCCAACAUGAGUUGGGUACCUAAAACCCAAGCCUAAAUUUGCCUUGCAGGUUUAUGCAUCCGGGGGUUCAAGCUGGAUUAUCGACAGCGGAUGCACAAACCAUAUGAUGGGGGAGAAGAAGAUGUUCACCUCCUACGUCAAGAAUAAGGAUUCCCAAGAUUCAAUAAUAUUCGGUGAUGGGAAUCAAGGCAAGGUAAAAGGGUUAGGUAAAAUUGCAAUCUCAAAUGAGCACUCUAUAUCUAAUGUGUUUUUAGUAGAGUCUCUUGGAUAUAAUUUGCUAUCUGUUAGUCAAUUAUGCAAUAUGGGUUAUAAUUGUCUUUUUACAAAUGUAGAUGUGUCUGUCUUUAGAAGAAGUGAUGGUUCACUAGCCUUUAAGGGUGUAUUAGACGGCAAGCUCUACUUAGUUGAUUUUGCAAAAGAAGAGGCCGGUCUAGAUGCAUGCUUAAUUGCUAAGACUAGCAUGGGUUGGCUGUGGCAUCGCCGCUUAGCACAUGUGGGGAUGAAGAAUCUUCACAAGCUUCUAAAGGGAGAACACGUGAUAGGUUUGACUAACGUACAAUUCGAAAAAGAUAGACCUUGUGCAGCUUGUCAGGCAGGUAAACAGGUGGGAGGAGCGCAUCACAGCAAGAAUGUGAUGACCACAUCAAGACCCCUGGAGCUGCUACAUAUGGACCUCUUCGGACCCGUCGCCUAUCUAAGCAUAGGAGGAAGUAAGUAUGGUUUAGUUAUUGUUGAUGACUUUUCCCGCUUCACUUGGGUGUUCUUUUUGUAGGAUAAGUCUGAAACCCAAGGGACCCUCAAGCGCUUCCUCAGGAGAGCUCAAAAUGAGUUUGAGCUCAAGGUGAAGAAGAUAAGGAGCGACAACGGGUCCGAGUUCAAGAACCUUCAAGUGGAGGAGUUCCUUGAGGAGGAAGGGAUCAAGCACGAGUUCUCCGCUCCCUACACACCACAGCAAAAUGGUGUGGUAGAGAGAAAGAACAGGACGCUAAUCGACAUGGCGAGGACGAUGCUUGGAGAAUUCAAGACCCCCGAGCGUUUUUGGUCGGAAGCCGUGAACACGGCUUGCCACGCCAUCAACAGGGUCUACCUUCAUCGCCUCCUCAAGAAGACUUCGUAUGAGCUACUAACCGGUAACAAACCCAAUGUAUCUUACUUUCGUGUAUUUGGGAGCAAGUGCUACAUUCUAGUGAUGAAGGGUAGAAAUUCUAAAUUUGCUCCCAAAGCUGUAGAAGGGUUUUUGUUAGGUUAUGACUCAAAUACAAAGGCGUAUAGAGUCUUCAACAAAUCAUCGGGUUUGGUUGAAGUCUCUAGUGACGUUGUAUUUGAUGAGACUAAUGGCUCUCCAAGAGAGCAAGUUGUUGAUUUUGAUGAUGUAGAUGAAGAAGAUGUUCCGACGGCCGCUAUACGAACCAUGGCGAUUGGAGAAGUGCGGCCACAGGAACAAUAUGAACGAGAUCAACCUUCUUCCUCAACAACGGUGCAUCCCCCACCUCAAGAUGAUGAACAGGUUCAUCAAAAGGAGGCGUGUGAUCAAGGGGGAGCACAAGAUGAUCACAUGAUGGAGGAAGAAGCGCAACCGGCACCUCCAACCCAAGUUCGAGCGGUGAUUCAAAGGGAUCAUCCCGUCGACCAAAUUUUGGGUGACAUUAGCAAGGGAGUAACUACUCGAUCUCGAUUAGUUAAUUUUUGUGAGCAUUACUCCUUUGUCUCUUCUAUUGAGCCUUUCAGGGUAGAGGAGGCCUUGCUAGAUCCGGAUUGGGUAUUGGCCAUGCAGGAGGAACUCAACAACUUCAAGCGCAAUGAAGUUUGGACACUGGUGCCUCGUCCCAAGCUAAAUGUUGUGGGAACCAAGUGGGUGUUCCGCAACAAACAGGACGAGCACGGGGUGGUGACGAGGAACAAGGCUCGACUUGUGGCAAAAGGUUAUGCCCAAGUCGCAGGUUUGGACUUUGAGGAGACUUUUGCUCCUGUGGCUAGGCUAGAGUCAAUUCGCAUCUUGCUAGCAUAUGCCGCUCACCAUUCUUUCAGGUUGUACCAAAUGGAUGUGAAGAGCGCUUUCCUCAACGGGCCGAUCAAGGAGGAGGUGUACGUGGAGCAACCCCUUGGCUUCGAGGAUGAACGGUACCCCGACCACGUGUGUAAGCUCUCUAAGGCGCUCUAUGGACUUAAGCAAGCCCCAAGAGCAUGGUAUGAAUGCCUUAGAGACUUUUUAAUUGCUAAUGCUUUCACGGUUGGGAAAGCCGAUCCAACUCUUUUUACUAAGACAUAUGAUGGUGAUUUGUUUGUGUGCCAAAUUUAUGUCGAUGACAUAUUAUUUGGUUCUACUAACCAAAAGUCUUGUGAAGAGUUUAGCAGGGUGAUGACGCAGAAAUUCGAGAUGUCGAUGAUGGGCGAGUUGAACUACUUCCUUGGGUUCCAAGUGAAGCAACUCAAGGACGGCACCUUCAUCUCCCAAACGAAGUACACACAAGAUUUGCUAAAGAGGUUUGGGAUGAAGGACGCCAAGCCCGCAAAGACGCCGAUGGGAACCGAUGGACACACCGACCUCAACAAAGGUGGUAAGUCCGUUGAUCAAAAAGCAUACCGGUCCAUGAUAGGGUCUUUACUUUAUUUAUGUGCUAGUAGACCGGAUAUUAUGCUUAGCGUAUGCAUGUGUGCUAGAUUUCAAUCCGAUCCUAAGGAGUGUCACUUAGUGGCGGUGAAGCGAAUUCUUAGAUAUUUGGUUGCUACGCCUUGCUUCGGGCUCUAGUAUCCAAAGGGGUCUACCUUUGACUUGGUUGGAUACUCAGAUUCCGACUAUGCUGGAUGUAAGGUCGAUAGGAAGAGUACAUCAGGGACGUGCCAAUUCUUAGGAAGGUCCCUGGUGUCGUGGAACUCUAAGAAACAAACCUCCGUUGCCCUAUCCACCGCUGAGGCCGAGUAUGUUGUCGCAGGACAGUGUUGCGCGCAACUACUUUGGAUGAGGCAAACCCUCCGGGACUUUGGCUACAAUCUGAGCAAAGUCCCACUCCUAUGUGAUAAUGAGAGUGCUAUCCGCAUGGCGGAAAAUCCUGUUGAACACAGCCGCACAAAGCACAUAGACAUCCGGCAUCACUUUUUGAGAGACCACCAGCAAAAGGGAGAUAUCGAAGUGUUUCAUGUUAGCACCGAGAACCAGCUAGCCGAUAUCUUUACCAAGCCUCUAGAUGAGAAGACCUUUUGCAGGUUGCGUUGUGAGCUCAAUGUCUUAGAUUCGCGGAACUUGGAUUGAAUUGUAGCAUACAUGUAUUUAUGCUUUUGAUCAUGUUCCUUUUUGCAUUUUGUUGCUUAUUAUGGUGCUCAAGCUGUACAAACACUCCCUGGACCUCACAAGUCCGUUGCAAAGUGAUGCACAUGUUUAGGGGGAGAUGUGUUACAACUUGACCCUUUGAGACUAACCAUGUGCUUGAGUUUGAUGAUUUAGUCUCGAAGGAGGAUUGAAAGGGAAAAGGUGGACUUGGACCAUGCAAGACUUCCACUGCACUCCGAUGAGAGGGUAACUUAUUCCAAGUUCAUCUCAUAAACUCUUAUUGCCAUUUGAUCUUAAUUGAAGACUUUGGUGAGGCAAUGGGGUUAUAGGGCCAAGAUUGAUCCCGUUUUGGUGCUUGAUGCCAAAGGGGGAGAAAAUAAAGGCCAAAGCAAUAAAUGGAUCAGCUACCACUUGAGAAACUUUGAAAACAGUAGGAUAGAGCUUUUGGUUUGGCAAAACUCUUGCAUUGUCUCUUUGCGUUGUCUCUUUUGUCAAAAGUUGGUCUCUUGUGGGGAGAAGUGUUGAUUAUGGGAAAAAGGGGGAGUUUUUGGAAUCUUGAAUCAAUUGUCUUUGGAAAACCUCUCUUUAUGUCUCUACAAGUGGAUUUGACUUAGAGAUAGGAUUUUGUGUUUGAUUUGCGAAAACAAACCAAGUGGUGGCAAAGGAUGAUCCAUAUAUGCCAAAAUUGAAUCAAAAUAAAUUUGAGUUUUUAUUUGAAGUGAUAUUGCACUUGUUCUAGUUGCUUUAUGUUGUGUUGGCAUAAAUCACCAAAAAGGGGGAGAUUGAAAGGGAAAUGUGCCCUUGGGCCAUUUCUAAGUAUUUCGGUGAUUGAGUGCCAACACAAGUGCUUAAUUGUGAAUCUAUGCCCAUGGAUGAACAAAGUGCAAAUCAAGAGCAAAUGUAUGUUUCUAAGUCUUAGUACAUUGGUUUUGUGUACUAAUAUACUUGUCUAAGUAUCAGAAACAGAAAGAAGAAGAAAAGAGAAGAGUUGGCUGUGUACAGCCAAGAGGCUGUUUCGGUCUGGGGCACCGGAUUGUCCGGUGGUGCACCGGACAGUGUCCGGUGCGCCAGGCUGCCUCAAGCGAAGUGGCCGCUCUCGGGAAUUUGCCGACGGCGUACGGCUAAAAUUCACCGGACUGUCCGGUGUGCACCGGACUGUCCGGUGAGCCAACGGUCGGCCGGGCCAACGGUCGGCCGCGCGAUCCGCGCGGGACACGUGGCCGAGCCAAUGGCUAGAAGGGGGCACCGGACUGUCCGGUGUGCACCGGACAUGUCCGGUGCGCCAACGGCUCCAAGUCUGCCAACGGUCGGCUUCGCUAUUUAAGGAAGGAAAUCGGGCACCGGACAGUGUCCGGUGUGCACCGGACUGUCCGGUGCACCCGACGACAGAAGGCAAGAAGGGCCUUCCAGAUUUGCUCUCAACGGCUCCUAGCUGCCUUGGGGCUAUAAAAGGGACCCCUAGGCGCAUGGAGGAGGACACCAAGCAACCUUAGAGCAUUCUUGAUCAUCCACACUCAGUCUUUGCGCAUUCGUUUGUCUUUCUAAGUGAUUCGAGCUCCGUUCUAGUGAGAACUUUGAGAUAGUCUUUGAGCUCGAUUCUUGGCCGUGUGUGUGCGCAUUCUUGCUGUGGAUUUGUGUGUGUUGCUUCCCUUCCUUACUCCGUGAUUCUUUGUGAACAUCAAAAGUGUAAGGGCGAGAGGCUCCAAGUUGUGGAGAUUCCUCGCGAACGGGAUAAGAAAAGAAAAGCAUAACACUGUGGUAUUCAAGUUGAUCAUUGGAUCACUUGAGAGGAGUUGAGUGCAACUCUCGUCCGUUGGGACGCCACAACGUGGAGUAGGCAAGUUUUGUACUUGGCCGAACCACGGGAUAAAUCACUGUGUCUUCUCUGUGUUGAAUUCUUUGUGAUUAUCGUAUUGUGCAAGACCUUCUCUCUAGCCACUUGGCGAUUAUUGUGCUAACACUUAACAAGUUUUUGUGGCUAUAAGUUUAAGUUUCACAGGAUCACCUAUUCACCCCCCCCCCUCUAGGUGCUCUCAGACUCAAAAUAGCUUGUCUAAUUUACAAGCAGGACUUGAUAAUGUAACAGAAAUGUCUAAUCUAGUAUCUUCUAAGUGAGACUCAAAAUCAACUGAGCGAAGUUACAUGGUCAAGUCCAAUAAAAAAAUACACAAAAAUUCACUAACAGGAUCAGGACAUGGAAAAUAUAGGCGAAUCAAGAAUGUUAGUGAAAACAUGCCCUCUCCUUACUUGCUGGUAGGAAUUCCUGAAUUUCGGAGCUGACAUUUUUCAAGCUCUAGAUUGCUCACUUGUGAAGAUGACCUUAGGAUGAUUUAUGUCC
This 10138-nucleotide long non-coding RNA is filed under the name Zea mays. Its description in RNAcentral is "long non-coding RNA (ZMAY_LNC002710)". The record is from RNAcentral. Lineage: Eukaryota; Viridiplantae; Streptophyta; Magnoliopsida; Poales; Poaceae.